UCAGUGGGAAGCACACCACUGAAGUCACAUGCUGCAUGGUUGUUACUGACUGCUUCUAAGAUGGGCUGAGACAUGAGUCAAUAGCUGCCAUUACCUAAUGGGUAGCUUAAUUACGUGCUUGUCUGGGAGCUGGGGAGGGUCACCCAUUGAGUGGAAGAAACUUACGUAGGCUUGAUCGUUAACCCUGGUUGGUGCCCCCUCCCAAGGAUGCGGGACAGAAUUGUAGACAGCGCCACUGAGUUCAGUGGGAGGAGGUGAGGCCAGUGCCCCACCCAGCGAUCAUAACCCAUUUCAGACUACUCUUCAUGCAA
Gopherus evgoodei (Goodes thornscrub tortoise) is the source of this 311-nucleotide ribozyme. It matches the Rfam family "Nuclear RNase P". Rfam says of the family: Ribonuclease P (RNase P) is a ubiquitous endoribonuclease, found in archaea, bacteria and eukarya as well as chloroplasts and mitochondria. Its best characterised activity is the generation of mature 5'-ends of tRNAs by cleaving the 5'-leader elements of precursor-tRNAs. Lineage: Eukaryota; Metazoa; Chordata; Testudines; Testudinidae. The record is from Ensembl.